AGUCCAAGCCCCAGGACUGGCAAAAAAAAAAAAAAGAAAAAAAGAAAAGCACACAAUUCAUAAGUAUAGGACAAGUUUCAAUAUGCACUAAGUUAUUAAGUGAUCAAGACAAAAUA
Perognathus longimembris pacificus (Pacific pocket mouse) is the source of this 116-nucleotide long non-coding RNA. RefSeq lists it as uncharacterized. The record is from RefSeq and is a predicted model, not a curated record. The transcript has 2 exons. Lineage: Eukaryota; Metazoa; Chordata; Mammalia; Rodentia; Heteromyidae.